GCGUCCGUAGCCCAAUUUGGUAGAGGCGCCGGAUUUAGGUUCCGGUCAGUGCAGGUUCGAGCCCUGUCGGGCGUACCA
RNAcentral lists this transfer RNA (78 nucleotides) under Mycolicibacterium goodii. Its description in RNAcentral is "tRNA-Leu". It matches the Rfam family "tRNA". Rfam says of the family: Transfer RNA (tRNA) molecules are approximately 80 nucleotides in length. Their secondary structure includes four short double-helical elements and three loops (D, anti-codon, and T loops). Lineage: Bacteria; Bacillati; Actinomycetota; Actinomycetes; Mycobacteriales; Mycobacteriaceae. The record is from RNAcentral.